RNAcentral lists this ribosomal RNA (242 nucleotides) under uncultured bacterium. RNAcentral's name for it is "partial 16S ribosomal RNA". It matches the Rfam family "Bacterial small subunit ribosomal RNA", at positions 791 to 1035 of the family's 1533-position model. The record is from RNAcentral.
UAGUCCGCACGGUAAACGAUGGAUGCUCGCUAUCGGCGCUUGGCGUCGGUGGCAACGCGAAAGCUUUAAGCAUCCCACCUGGGGAGUACGCCGGCAACGGUGAAACUCAAAGGAGUUGACGGGGGCCCGCACAAGCGGAGGAACAUGUGGUUUAAUUCGAUGAUACGCGAGGAACCUUACCCGGGCUUGAACUGCAGGAGACAGUUGGCAGAGACGCCAUCAUCCCUUCGGGGCUCCUGUGG